AUUGAACGCUGGCGGCAGNCCUAACACAUGCAAGUCGAGCGGCAGCACGGGAAGCUUGCUUCCUGGUGGCGAGCGGCGGACGGGUGAGUAAUGCAUAGAAAUCUGCCCGGUAGUGGGGGAUAACCUGGGGAAACCCAGGCUAAUACCGCAUACGUCCUACGGGAGAAAGCAGGGGAUCUUCGGACCUUGCGCUAUCGGAUGAGUCUAUGUCGGAUUAGCUUGUUGGUGAGGUAAUGGCUCACCAAGGCGACGAUCCGUAGCUGGUCUGAGAGGAUGAUCAGCCACAUCGGGACUGAGACACGGCCCGAACUCCUACGGGAGGCAGCAGUGGGGAAUAUUGGACAAUGGGCGAAAGCCUGAUCCAGCCAUGCCGCGUGUGUGAAGAAGGCCUUCGGGUUGUAAAGCACUUUCAGUGGGGAAGAAAGCCUUGGGGCUAAUACCCUCGAGGAAGGACAUCACCCACAGAAGAAGCACCGGCUAACUCCGUG
This 488-nucleotide ribosomal RNA is filed under the name uncultured bacterium. Its description in RNAcentral is "bacterial SSU rRNA". It matches the Rfam family "Bacterial small subunit ribosomal RNA", at positions 30 to 507 of the family's 1533-position model. The record is from RNAcentral.